RNAcentral lists this ribosomal RNA (491 nucleotides) under uncultured bacterium. RNAcentral describes it as "bacterial SSU rRNA". It matches the Rfam family "Bacterial small subunit ribosomal RNA", at positions 25 to 518 of the family's 1533-position model. The record is from RNAcentral.
CAGGAUGAACGCUGGCGGCGUGCUUAACACAUGCAAGUCGAACGGAGUUUUAACGGAAGUUUCGGAUGGAAGUUUAAGAACUUAGUGGCGGACGGGUGAGUAACGCGUGGGUAACCUGCCUCAUACAGGGGGAUAACAGUUAGAAAUGACUGCUAACACCGCAUAAUAUAGUGAAACCGCAUGAUUUUGCUAUCAAAUAUUUAUAGGUAUGAGAUGGGCCCGCGUCUGAUUAGCUAGUUGGUGGGGUAAAAGCCUACCAAGGCGACGAUCAGUAGCCGGCUUGAGAGAGUGACCGGCCACAUUGGGACUGAGACACGGCCCAAACUCCUACGGGAGGCAGCAGUGGGGAAUAUUGGACAAUGGGGGAAACCCUGAUCCAGCGAACCGCCGCGUGAGUGAAGAAGUAUUUCGGUAUGUAAAGCUCUAUCAGCAGGGAAGAUAAUGACAGUACCUGACUAAGAAGCCCCGGCUAACUACGUGCCAGCCGCAGC